GUUAGGAGUAAAAGAGCAAACUGGUUAGUGUUAGUGUCAGUGUCAGUUUUAGUGCAGGAGGUUUUUGUACAGCUGUUGAUUGGGUUUGUAUCACUGUGGUGGACUUUUGGUGGAGGCACCCGACUCUCAGUUGGAACUGCGGCUCGUCCCGCUCUGACGGUGCUGCCUCCCUCCAGAGACGAGCUGCAGCAGGGUAAGGCUACAGUGCUGUGUGUGGCCAGUAAGGGAUUCCCCUCUGACUGGAAGCUGAGCUGGAAGGUGGACGGCAGCAGCAGGAGCUCUGGUGUCAAUCUGAGUCCCAGUCAGCUGCAGAAGGAUGGACUGUACAGCUGGAGCAGCAGCCUGAGCCUCACUGAGAGUGAGUGGAGCAGAGCAACAAACCGUCAGCUGUGACGCCACGCACCCGUCCCACAAAUGCAGUCACCAACAGCCUCAACACAAAGCAGUGCAAUGAUGACCAGUGAAAAACUCACACCGACACAUUGUCCUAAAUCAGCCACUGCUCAACAACUAAUCUUUCAUGCUGUUAGUAUAUUGCUCAUAUAUUUUUAUCUGUUGUAAUUCUACAACUGCAAUGCUAUGAAGGUUUUGCUGGUUAUUUUAGAUUUUACUGCUACCAAAUAAAAGCAUUUAGACUUAAA
Cyprinus carpio (common carp) is the source of this 641-nucleotide non-coding RNA. Lineage: Eukaryota; Metazoa; Chordata; Actinopteri; Cypriniformes; Cyprinidae. The record is from the annotation of a RefSeq genome assembly.